GCCUUCGUGGUGUAACGGUAGUACAUUUGGCGCGUAUUCGAGAGGUCCAGGUUCCAGUCCUGGCAAAGGCA
RNAcentral lists this transfer RNA (71 nucleotides) under Stegodyphus mimosarum. It matches the Rfam family "tRNA". Rfam says of the family: Transfer RNA (tRNA) molecules are approximately 80 nucleotides in length. Their secondary structure includes four short double-helical elements and three loops (D, anti-codon, and T loops). The record is from Rfam by way of RNAcentral. Lineage: Eukaryota; Metazoa; Arthropoda; Arachnida; Araneae; Eresidae.